Caenorhabditis elegans is the source of this 21-nucleotide non-coding RNA. Lineage: Eukaryota; Metazoa; Nematoda; Chromadorea; Rhabditida; Rhabditidae. The record is from Ensembl.
UCUCGUAGGAAAAAGCGGUUU